Symphalangus syndactylus (siamang) is the source of this 5698-nucleotide long non-coding RNA. RefSeq lists it as uncharacterized. NCBI's taxonomy places the organism in Eukaryota, Metazoa, Chordata, Mammalia, Primates, Hylobatidae. The record is from RefSeq and is a predicted model, not a curated record.
AGCCGUUAGGAAGAGGAAGUAGCCGUUAGGAAGAGGAAGUAGCCGUUAGGAAGAGGAAGUAGCCCUACGAAAGCUCUAAGACGGGAGCAUGCAUGGAUUCUUUCAUCAUCGUUCCAUCUACCUCAGUCCUAAACCAAUACGAGGCAUUGCUGUGGCCAUAGAUUAGUUCAAUCUGGACCUCUCUAGAGGGUCCAGUGAGAGCAAAACCAGGACAUCUGCUCAACAGUGGAGGACGGUGCUCAUCUUUCUCAUACUGGGUAUGGAAAAGAAGCUGACAGCGAUCAUAUGACCACAGGGAAAGCAUUUUGAAGCUAAAGAGGCCAGGCAAUCGAUGGAGACGCAAAGAAGUCUCCUAAAACAUGGGAACAGAGAUCUGCUCACACUUUGACUAAAGACCAGUCUAUCCUUGGACUUCCUCAUUUGUGAGCCAAUAAACUCCAUUCACUGUUUAAGACCUGUGAGUCUAGUUUUCCGUAUCUAACAACCACUUUUCUAAACCGCUAAGCCACUUUUAAACUUUUUCCAAAACAAAAAAAAGUUUUUUUUCAACCACUUUACUUAACAAACCAAGUACCAAUCAGUACUAAACUAUAAACUCAAAACAUCUAUCCUCUCAAUUUUGAAAGUGUGUAAAAACUUAGCUGACAAAAUUUCUAAGAAAAAGAUGAUGACUUCCCCACUCUGAAGUAGAAAACACAACUUUAUAAAGAGCUUUAAGAAGAGAAAAUACAUUGAAGAAUGAAAAGUAAAACACACCUUUUUUUUCUGGAGGCUUCCCAUUAUUCUGGUUCAAUUUUAGGAUAUUUUGGGUGUCACCUUUGCUUCCAUCUCUUUGAAACUUAAGUUCCAACUCUUCUGUCAGGGAGCGCAAAUGUUUUCAGUGGUCAAAAAGAGAAUAAUCUCUGCGGGCAUCUCUCCCACACCCUUAUUUACACGAGGCACCUACAGCUCAAACUUGUCAACAGUCUUGCUUGGGAUGGUGAGUGCGAGAGUGGGGUCAGGGUCUCAGGUGGACAUCCUUCCAAUCCAGAUCCUUGCUUCAUGACAGCGGCGGAGUGCUCUGACACAGCUACAGUAUCUGUUGGCCGUCAACACUGCCAUCCAGGCUAAAAAGAAGCAUUGAGAAACAAAGAACCCAAAUUAUUCCAACCAGCUUAAUCCUCCACCCCUGGCUGAUGCAGAACUACAGAGCUCCAGCCUCCUGGCCAGGGGUCUAAUUCUCCCAUCCGUCCCAUUAGCCCCACUCAGUGACAGCACACCUUAGACAAAUGUUUUCCUGAAGUCUCUUGAUAAACAAAUUUGCUUUUACUCUUAAAAUAAUAAAAGUAUAGAAUUUCAGACUUGGGAAGAGCCUUAACAAUCAUUUAAUUGAUAACUUUUCCCCAUGAAUUAUAAUGCCACCCUCCACCUGCUAGCCCUGUUCUUCCUUGAAGGGGAAGAUGAUGUCCAUUCUAUAUAACGAAUGUCUUCUUAUUUUUGUGGGGCUAGGAACAGCGUCAUUAAACUGGGCGCUAAAGAAAUGCUAAUUGUGGGCAAUCAUUCUUUUUGAAUUUUUUCAGUACAGUUAUUUGUCUGUCUAGAAACAGAGAUAAAUCUUUUUCUUUCUGUUUUUUUUUUUUUUUUUUUUUUUUUUUUUUUUUUUUAAUGGAGUUUCUUUCUUGUUGCCCAGGCUGGAGUUCAAUGGUGCUAUCUCAGCUCACUGCAAGCUCUGCCUCCUGUGUUCAAGCGAUUCUCCUGCCUCAGCCUCCCGAGUAGCUGAGAUUACAGGCGCCCGCCACCACGCCCAACUAAUUUUUGUAUUUUAGUAGAGAUGGGGUUUCACCACGUGGGUCAGGCUGGUCUCAAACUCCUGUCCUCAGGUGAUCCACCCGCCUUGGCCUCCAGAAGUGCUGGGAUUACAGGCGUGAGCCAGGGCGCCCAGACGAGAAAUCUUUAAAAAGUAACAUCCCGCUUGAAAGCUACACUACUAUAACAUUUACUGACUACACAUAAAAACCUAUUUGAAUGACACAGGAGAAACUGUUGUCUGUAACUGCACGCUGACAUAUCAUUACAUAUGCAUAUUACUUCUUUUGUCCAGUGCUAAUUUUUAAUGACAAUGGAGUUUCUAUAAAGUGUGCCAGGAGGAAGUUUCUUUGGUGUAUAUUAGUCUGUUACAUUUAUGCUUAGUUUGGCUGGAGAGUUUUAAUUACACCCUACAUCCCAGUACAUGAAAAAUGGAAGUUGUGUAGUUUGAGCUUUUGGCUGACCAGCCAUUUUCCUGUAACCAGAAGUAAGUACUAGUUAUUGUAAGCUCUGAGAUGGAAAUAGUCGGCUGUGCACAACUCACAUGAUAUUAUGAGAUAUCUGUAGAGUUUUGAGAAGUCAGUUACACAUUUGAUGGACCUAUCGUAACAUGUUGACACCUACGAUGAGAGGAAAGAGACUUUUUGUUUGUUUAAUUAUCUAUUCUAACUGCGAUUAUUUAUGGAUAGUGGCUAAUUGUUUUAGAACGUAUUGAAGAGCAUACUUGCCUAUUAGAAAUAAGUUGCAACAGACUUGGUUGCUCCAAUUUACUAUAAACUAGGAGGUAGAAUGAUGUAUUGGAAAGAGAAUGGUCUUUAGCUGUAGGAAGACUUGGGUUCAAAUCUUAAGUUAUAAUGUUUAUUUUACUGAUGUUCUGGGCAAGUCACUGAACUAUUCUGGCCCUGUGUUUCCUCUCCCAAAGAAGGGGAAUAAUAGCAUCUGCUCCUAAAAAUGUUAUUUUGGGAAUUAGAAUUAAUAUAUGUAAGUUAAAGUAAGGAUAGUUAACAAAUCGUAAGUAUUAGAUGCUUGGGAGUGAUAAAUAACACUUAUUCCAUUCACAGAGAGAGUUUAAUGAACCACUGCAACUCCAACUACUCAAAUCUUUAAAAGUCCUAUCUGUUUUUAUCAGCACUUAUAGAAACAGAUUCACUUUCACUUUUGCCAUAAGAUUAAUUAUGAAAAACAUAUCUGGGUAUGUCACCUGCCUCAGUAAUUAAAUAGAACAGGAACAAAUCAAAUUAUUUAGCGGCAAAAAUAAGACAGCACUUAGCAUUUAUUCAAUGUCAUAUGCUACCACUGCCACCAUUAUGUGGUCUCUAUGGCAUUUCACUUUCCCCCAGUGAAGAAGCUUCUAUGAACAAACACAAUCAUUAAAAACAGAUUGAGCGUGAAAUGAAGAUGAGAACUUCCAUUCAUUGGUGAAAACAAUAUUAUGUGACUAAACUCUAAAGGUAAACAAGUCAGUUUAUAAACCGAGAACGCCGGGGCCUUUGGUCCCUUUAUCAUUUGUAUUUUAAGUAACAUUUUAAAAAAUGUUGAUGUUGUGUUACGGUUUAUCACCUGCCACUUGAAGAACUGUGGUGUUGGGAUUAGUAUCGUGUUUGAUACAGCUUUGUAGGGAUGUUUUCUGCUUUCAAAAUGUCAUGAUAUGCUUAAAACUAUUUGCAAAAAAAAAAAGAGAAUGAAUUGGUUUUCAUUUAUUGUUGUUAAUCCGCUUCUCAAUGUCUUGUCUGUGUGUUUUUGCUUUCAUCCUUCUUCCUUACCGCACAACUAUAUCAUUAGCCACAAGGCAGAACAUGUCUUCUAAGCAAAUGUAGAAUUAAAAAGUCUUGUGGGAGAAUUUUAGCAACUGUUGAGCUAAGAUCAUGCCACAGUGAGAUACAAAGCAAUGUGUAAUAAGGAAAAUCACUCAAACAUGAGAAACUUCUUAAUAAAUCAGGAGAAAUCAAGUGUGCAUGAAAAGGCUAGGUAUUAUGUGUUCUAAGAUACAAGGUUUAUUACCUGUGUAAUUGCUUUACUAUGUAGGAUACGCAUUUGAACAAAUGUUGUAAAUUAUUACAAAGUACGCUACAGUGAAACCUCUUUAUAAUAUUUCCACACAUACUGGUUUCCCAUUUGGGGAGUCCUGAAUUACACAUCCCUCUUACAGAGAAGUGAACCUCUGGGAGCGAGGCUCAAGAUCAUAACAAUUCUCCCCAUUUAUUCCUCUACAUUGUAUUAGUGAUACCUGAGAGGUGGCUCAUGGAUGUUAAGAAUACAAAUAUAAGCAAGAGGACCUCAAGAUGCAAACAAUCUAAUUGAGAAAGGAGAUUAUAAACAGCAAACUGCUACUAGUGCUACUGCUGCUACUAAUAACAAAAAAAUAGAAUGCAUGUGCCUUGUUCUGAAGAGCUGCUUUGCAAAUGCACUUAAAAGAAGGAGAGAACCUUUUCUCUUAGCAAAAUAUAAGCAUAAGCAAGUUAGUAAUUACAUACACUUCUGUUCCAUUGUCUGUAAAAACACAAAUAAUUGCUGCCUCAUGGAAUGAUUUUAAGGGUUGGGUAAGAUAUAUAUGGGAAGUGUUUAGCAUUACACCGAGAGCAUCGUAAGAACUCCAUGGAUGGGAGCUAUGUAUUGCUCUCUUUACUAUUCAUGUUAGUUGCAUUAUUGGAGGCAUAAUGGCACAGUGAAAGAGCCUCUGCAUCCAAGUAGGUCACAGCCUCAUUAGGGGCUUGCGAUAUGCAAAGACGUUAAAACAGUAAUCAACCAGGUAUUAUAUGUGAUAAUUACAAAUGAGUGUUAGGCAAUACGUGCUGAAGGUAUUAUUUUCAUAUACCCAUUUAUCCCCAAAUAAAUAGAGUUGGCGUAACAUUCUUGUUCAUAACAAGAUCAUAGAAACAGAACAAAAAUGUUAUAUCCCGUUUCUGCUUUCAUCAUGGGUAUUAGACUCAUUUCUCCAAACAACUAUGUGUCCAAUGUAGAGAUAUCUAAAUACAAAUAACAAUUUUCAAAAGCCAUAAUCAAUCCAAUCCAUCUAAUCUAAAAGCUGACACCUAAUCAGACACACAAGGACCAAAGGAGCUGAAUAACAUAUCAGAAAUAUUGAUAAGCUUAUCACAUGUGCUUUUCUUUACAGCUUUUAAAAUAGUUAUUGAGUUUGGGAGACCGUCCAUUGUCUUUGUGGACACAAAUAAUUAAAACCUGCCAUGACUGUAACUUCCAUACCUAACUUCAGGACAAAAAUAACGAUGGCCCUGACAGGACCUCUUUGGCCUAGACUGACAGCCGCUGUGACCGACACGCUUGUUCUGGGCUAAUGGACAUUGACGGACUUCAUGUGUCUCAGCUGAAUCGGAGGUGAUUUUCAACUGCUGAACAGGAGAUGACCUGCUGGCUCAGUGAAUAGGUGGGAUACUUGGGGAUGGGCUAAUGACAAAUCACAUCUUCUGGACAGGUGCUUGUUGGGUCGAGACAGGAAGCAGAAGGUUUUGUACCUGUUACUCACUUGAGCUCAUUCUGACCCAAACAAGUAUCCAGAGGAAUUAACUAGUGACCUAGGUGCAGGGUCGCACCUGUCCUCAUGAGUGCCAAUCAAACAUUUUGGCUGGAAAUUCCCCGCAAAUGAUGGAGAAUAAUGGCUUCAAUCCUUUAAGUGGGGCAUAUUUCCUUAGUUAUCAUGCAUGUCAUAGGGGAUAGAAAAUUAAAUAUUAUGACUAGAAUGAUGAAAAUAUGAUGGCAUAAAACUUUAAUUUUGUUUCCAUUCUCAUUUUCGUGAUAUAAUUACAUGUCCCACUUAAAAAUACAAACGUUUGAAAGAAAUCUCGCACACAAUUAAGGCGGUUUACUAAUACUCCAGGUGAUAACAAUAUUGACAAAGUACCCUCCUGCCUGCCUCCUUUUGACUGAUUAUUUUAUUUAUUUGUGUUUGUUUUGG